AAAAUUUCCAAGCUGUAUAAAUGGGUAAAUAAUUGUAACGUUAACACUGUACGUCAGUUUAGAGAAAAGUGUCGACUAAAGGAAUAAAUCUAAACGCGUGAUUCUCGCGCCCGUUUGUUUCCUGUCAAAAUGAGUCACAAAAUUAAAGCAUUAUUGUUAUUGCUUAUUUUAAGCCCUAAAAUGUGUUCGUCUCGUACUUGAAAGGGAAACCGCAACUUUCUUCUGGUUUGGAAAUAAGGAUCGAAGUUAAUUGAAAGCUGGGUUUAAUUUGGAGAACUUCAAUGUCUCAAAGAGCUUUCCCGGUAGGAUCUUAAUAUGCCUUUAAACUGCACAUUCACUGCAGUUAUAUAUGUAUAGGGGCAUGAAUGGCCAUAUCAUCAUCUUUAUCAUAAUCAUUUUGUCUUUCUUUAGACUGAAGAAAUGGACACAGGUGACAGUGCAGCUCCACAUGUUUGCUUUGUACUGGUGUUUCUCGCUGCUUCUUACCUUCCAUGUGCUGAAGUUGGACAAAGGUUAAAGGAGAGGCUCUGGAAGAAAGUGCUGCUUGGUGUUUCCGACUACAUUUCCUUCACUUUGCUCAAAGUUCCAGCAGAAGGCUCCGUACCAAGCAAAGCAGAAGAAAUCCAAGUCGGCCGAAUUUCUGAUGGGUGAGCCCUGCUUGAUGAGUUAUUGCUCAUAAUUUGUGUAAGGAUUAAUUAACUAAUUACAGACAAAUGGCUGUGGGCUAAAUUUUGCUCUUGCUUGUCAGGGCGCAAUUUGUAAUUAUUUUAAUCAUUUAUUCUCUUUUUUUUCCUUCCUCUCUCUCUCUCUCUCUCUCUCCAAGAUUCAGAUUUAAUUUUAACCUAAUUGUGU
This 852-nucleotide long non-coding RNA is filed under the name Scleropages formosus (Asian bonytongue). RNAcentral describes it as "lncRNA (ENSSFOG00015026607.1)". The record is from RNAcentral. Lineage: Eukaryota; Metazoa; Chordata; Actinopteri; Osteoglossiformes; Osteoglossidae.